Long non-coding RNA from Diachasmimorpha longicaudata, 1110 nucleotides. RefSeq lists it as uncharacterized. The record is from RefSeq and is a predicted model, not a curated record. The transcript is spliced from 2 exons. Lineage: Eukaryota; Metazoa; Arthropoda; Insecta; Hymenoptera; Braconidae.
UCUGAUAUUUUUGCGGAGAUAUUACCGAUGAGAGAGAUUACAGUCUUCACACUUCGUUUCUUGUGAGUGUUUGCCAAAUCAAAAAAUUUUUUUUUGCUGUUUUUUCAAUACCGAUAAAAUAAAUGGGUGAAGGAAGGACUGAGGUACAGUCAUUUUUAUCGCACUUUGACUGAGAGAAAAAAUAUAAUUUUGCCAAUUAAAUAUUCUUCUCAUAAGAGCAAUUAAACAGCAAUUAAUUAUUCAACUAAUUAAUAUUCAGAAUUGAAUUUACGGGGAUAUUUUGUAUUACAUUUCCAUGAGUCAUCUGUUCCCGAAUUACAGAUCUGUAUCAACUUCACAUCGAAUGGCACUUGUUAAUCAAUCAAUGGCCCCCUGAAUCGUCACCUCCCAUUAGAAAAUAUUCGUCAAAAAUCCCAAGUGGCAUCGAAAAUUCAAAUUCUCCGAGUACCUAGAAUAGAUUGACCCAAUAAAGUAUCCAAAACUGACUAAAAAAUGCCAAUGACUCAGCGAAAUGGAAAGAAAACUCUUCGCUCAGCGAGAAAUGUCAAUCUCGUUGUGACAGCAAUGCGAAAUUUACGAGAUGAAAAUGGCUGUACGGUUGGAAAUAUCGUCGGUUAUAUCUCUGAUUACUGUGACCGACCAGCGCCAAAGCGUGAGGUCAUAGCAGCACUAAAACGCGGUCUAGAAUUUGGAAUAGUGGAUCGCAAGCGAGGCCGAUAUUUCCUCCAAACGGAUGAGAAAAAUAUUGAGGAUAAAAAACGAGGAACUCGUCCAAAAUUAUCGCCUGGCGAUGAGGGCAAUGAAGUUGCUGUCGAGCAAAAGAGAACAAGUAAACCAGCUAAGCUGAAAAAAUCAAGACGUGUGGGUAAAGGGAAAGAUGGAAGAAGGAAAAAGGGGAGAAAAGCUGCGAUAAAAAAAUCCAAAAAGACUAGGAUAUCUAGGACAAUCAAGCCAUACAAAUUGGAUGAUUUUGACAGAAAUCCAAAGUCCAGACCUUCAUUCGAUUCUUCCCUAGAUUCUAUGGAUUAUUUCCGAGAGGAAGACAUUUAUAAUUAUUAAAAAAAUAUACUUUUUUCCCCACAAAAUUGAAUAAAUUCAUUUUUCAUAUGG